UGGGGAAUAUUGGACAAUGGGCGAAAGCCUGAUCCAACCAUGCCGCGUGUGUGAAGAAGGCCUUUUGGUUGUAAAGCACUUUAAGCGAGGAGGAGGCUACUUGGAUUAAUACUCUAGGAUAGUGGACGUUACUCGCAGAAUAAGCACCGGCUAACUCUGUGCCAGCAGCCGCGGUAAUACAGAGGGUGCGAGCGUUAAUCGGAUUUACUGGGCGUAAAGCGUGCGUAGGCGGCUUCUUAAGUCGGAUGUGAAAUCCCUGAGCUUAACUUAGGAAUUGCAUUCGAUACUGGGAAGCUAGAGUAUGGGAGAGGAUGGUAGAAUUCCAGGUGUAGCGGUGAAAUGCGUAGAGAUCUGGAGGAAUACCGAUGGCGAAGGCAGCCAUCUGGCCUAAUACUGACGCUGAGGUACGAAAGCAUGGGGAGCAAACAGG
This 430-nucleotide ribosomal RNA is filed under the name Acidobacteriota bacterium. RNAcentral's name for it is "Acidobacteria bacterium partial 16S ribosomal RNA". It matches the Rfam family "Bacterial small subunit ribosomal RNA", at positions 355 to 776 of the family's 1533-position model. The record is from RNAcentral. Lineage: Bacteria; Pseudomonadati; Acidobacteriota.